This 560-nucleotide ribosomal RNA is filed under the name uncultured bacterium. Its description in RNAcentral is "bacterial SSU rRNA". It matches the Rfam family "Bacterial small subunit ribosomal RNA", at positions 338 to 916 of the family's 1533-position model. The record is from RNAcentral.
CCUACGGGAGGCAGCAGUAGGGAAUCUUGGACAAUGGGCGCAAGCCUGAUCCAGCCAUGCCGCGUGAGUGAAGAAGGCCUUAGGGUCGUAAAGCUCUUUCGCCUGUGAUGAUAAUGACAGUAGCAGGUAAAGAAACCCCGGCUAACUCCGUGCCAGCAGCCGCGGUAAUACGGAGGGGGUUAGCGUUGUUCGGAAUUACUGGGCGUAAAGCGCGCGUAGGCGGAUUGGAAAGUUAGAGGUGAAAUCCCGGGGCUCAACCCCGGAACGGCCUUUAAAACCCCCAGUCUAGAGUUCGAGAGAGGUGAGUGGAAUUCCAAGUGUAGAGGUGAAAUUCGUAGAUAUUUGGAGGAACACCAGUGGCGAAGGCGGCUCACUGGCUCGAUACUGACGCUGAGGUGCGAAAGUGUGGGGAGCAAACAGGAUUAGAUACCCUGGUAGUCCACACCGUAAACGAUGAAUGCCAGUCGUCGGAUAGUAUACUAUUCGGUGACACACCUAACGGAUUAAGCAUUCCGCCUGGGGAGUACGGUCGCAAGAUUAAAACUCAAAGGAAUUGACGG